CCUACGGGAGGCAGCAGUGGGGAAUCUUGCGCAAUGGGCGAAAGCCUGACGCAGCGACGCCUCGUGGGGGAUGAAGGCUCUCGGGUUGUAAACCCCUUUCGGCAGGAACGAAAUUGACGGUACCUGAAGAAGAAGCACCGGCCAACUACGUGCCAGCAGCCGCGGUAAUACGUAGGGUGCAAGCGUUGUCCGGAUUUAUUGGGCGUAAAGAGCUCGUAGGCGGCUUCGUAAGUCGGGUGUGAAACCUCCAGGCUUAACCUGGAGACGCCACCCGAUACUGCGAUAGCUAGAGUCUGGUAGGGGAUCACGGAAUUCCUGGUGUAGCGGUGAAAUGCGCAGAUAUCAGGAGGAACACCGAUGGCGAAGGCAGUGAUCUGGGCCAGUACUGACGCUGAGGAGCGAAAGCGUGGGGAGCAAACAGGAUUAGAUACCCUGGUAGUCCACGCCGUAAACGUUGGGCACUAGGUGUGGGUCCUUAUCAACGGGAUCCGUGCCGCAGCUACGACAUAGUACGCCCGCCGUCGGGAGGUACGGUCGCGACGAACGUAAACGUUAAAGUAAGUAGACGGCGUGAGACGNGCCGACGGACGACGACGAGGGAGUAGG
RNAcentral lists this ribosomal RNA (606 nucleotides) under uncultured bacterium. RNAcentral's name for it is "bacterial SSU rRNA". The stretch from base 1 to 520 matches the Rfam family "Bacterial small subunit ribosomal RNA", at positions 338 to 873 of the family's 1533-position model. The record is from RNAcentral.